This is a long non-coding RNA of Schistocerca gregaria, 709 nucleotides long. RefSeq lists it as uncharacterized. Lineage: Eukaryota; Metazoa; Arthropoda; Insecta; Orthoptera; Acrididae. The transcript has 4 exons. The record is from RefSeq and is a predicted model, not a curated record.
GUUUUUAUUUCAUUUUUAUGCCAUGCUUGAACGAAUCGCCUCCUCCCUUUUAUCCAAAUACCUUGGUGAAUAUAUAGAAGGAUUAAAUGCUGAAAAUCUCAAAUUCAAUCUAAGAGCCGGGAACUUAGUGCUAAAGAACCUGCGCCUCAAAAAAACUGCAUUUAAGCAAUUAGAACUUCUUAUCUCAUUCAAGGAUGGUAGCGUUUUAUCGUUAGUUUUAAUCUAAACAAAAUUUCUGUAUUUGAGCUCACAGAAGAUUAUGUUAUGUUACUGCUUCCUGAUUCGUUUUAUUUAGGAUAUGUUGAAACCCUGAUUAUGCAAGUUCCAUGGAGCGCAUUAAAUAGCAAACCCGUGGUCAUCAGAAUAUGUGGUGUUUACGUUGUUUUGUCUCCUAAAAGUCGAGAUCAGUCUGCAGAAGAAUUCAAGCAUAAUACUCAAUUGAUGAAACAGCAGAUGUUACAGAUAGCACAUGCCUUAGGACAAGAUAGGUUUGAAAAAAUUACAGAGGAAAAUAAAAAAAAUUCUGGAUUUUUCGAGAGGAUGACUGCAACUGUAGCCGAUAACAUUCAAAUUUUUGUUGACAAAAUUCAUAUCCUCUAUGAAGACGACAUUUCUAGUCCAGGUGAGCCCUUUUCUUUUGGUAUUACGCUGGACCAUUUUCACGUACAAAGCACUGAUGAAAAUAUGAAUCCAACUUUCUUGAACGUGG